CAUUAGAUGGCUGAAAGGAAGCAAUGGAAUUUUAAACCAUAUUAUAGUAAUUAGUGUCUACUUCUAAUG
This 69-nucleotide transfer RNA is filed under the name Howea angulata. Its description in RNAcentral is "tRNA-Lys". The record is from RNAcentral. Lineage: Eukaryota; Metazoa; Arthropoda; Insecta; Coleoptera; Cerambycidae.